RNAcentral lists this ribosomal RNA (762 nucleotides) under uncultured Russula. Its description in RNAcentral is "partial 28S ribosomal RNA". It matches the Rfam family "Eukaryotic large subunit ribosomal RNA", at positions 216 to 957 of the family's 3401-position model. Lineage: Eukaryota; Fungi; Basidiomycota; Agaricomycetes; Russulales; Russulaceae. The record is from RNAcentral.
GAAUCCCGUCUUUGGCACGGAAACCCCAGGGCUUUUGUGAUGCGCUCUCGAAGAGUCGAGUUGUUUGGGAAUGCAGCUCAAAAUGGGUGGUGAACUCCAUCUAAAGCUAAAUAUUGGCGAGAGACCGAUAGCGAACAAGUACCGUGAGGGAAAGAUGAAAAGCACUUUGGAAAGAGAGUGAAACAGUACGUGAAAUUGUUGAAAGGGAAACGCUUGAAGUCAGUCGCGUCGACCGAGACUCAGCCUUGCCCUUGGCUUGGUGUACUUCUCGGCUGACGGGUCAGCAUCAAUUUUGCCCCUUGGAUAAUGGCGAGGGAAAUGUGACACCUUUACGGUGUGUUAUAGUCUCUUGUCGCAUGCAAGGGUUGGGAUUGAGGAACUCAGCACGCACCUUUGGGUGUCGGGGCUUUGCCCACGAUACGUGCUUAGGAUGUUGGCGUAAUGGCUUUAAACGACCCGUCUUGAAACACGGACCAAGGAGUCUAACAUGCCUGCGAGUGUUCGGGUGGAAAACUCGUGCGCGCAAUGAAAGUGAAAGUUGGGACCUCUGUCGUGGAGGGCACCGACGCCCGGACCAGACCUUCUGUGACGGCUCUGCGGUAAAGCAUGUAUGUUAGGACCCGAAAGAUGGUGAACUAUGCCUGAAUAGGGUGAAGCCAGAGGAAACUCUGGUGGAGGCUCGUAGCGAUUCUGACGUGCAAAUCGAUCGUCAAAUUUGGGUAUAGGGGCGAAAGACUAAUCGAACCAUCUAGUAGCUGGUUC